RNAcentral lists this ribosomal RNA (370 nucleotides) under uncultured bacterium. RNAcentral's name for it is "bacterial SSU rRNA". It matches the Rfam family "Bacterial small subunit ribosomal RNA", at positions 139 to 507 of the family's 1533-position model. The record is from RNAcentral.
GGAGAUAACCUUGCGAAAGUAAGACGUAAUACCCAAUGACGUCUCUAGAAGACAUCUGAAAGAGAUUAAAGAUUUAUCGGUGAUGGAUGGGGAUGCGUCUGAUUAGCUUGUUGCGGGGUAACGGCCCACCAAGGCGACGAUCAGUAGGGGUUCUGAGAGGAAGGUCCCCCACAUUGGAACUGAGACACGGUCCAAACUCCUACGGGAGGCAGCAGUGAGGAAUAUUGGUCAAUGGGCGAGAGCCUGAACCAGCCAAGUAGCGUGCAGGAUGACGGCCCUAUGGGUUGUAAACUGCUUUUAUAAGGGAAUAAAGUGAGCCUCGUGAGGCUUUUUGCAUGUACCUUAUGAAUAAGGACCGGCUAAUUCCGUG